This 1387-nucleotide long non-coding RNA is filed under the name Homo sapiens (human). RNAcentral's name for it is "HSALNT0311040". The record is from RNAcentral. Lineage: Eukaryota; Metazoa; Chordata; Mammalia; Primates; Hominidae.
AAGAUACAACAGGACAGGCUUUGAGGACAGAAACCCAGGGUCACGUUCCUGCUCCAUCACUUUCCAUCAGCAUGGUCUCGGGCAAGGGAAUCGUGUAAGUCUAAAUUUCUUAUUCUCCUAAAUGUGGUGGCCACCUUGUGGGGUUUUAAAAUUAAAUGAGGUCAUCAUAAAAGUACCUUGUAUAGCAUUUGCCAUGUAGUAGCUGCUUACUAAAUGCUAGUUUGAGUCUUUCCUAUCAUAUUCCACCACAGAAGCAGGUAACUGAUCAUCUGGAAACCUGGGGGACAAGAGGGAAGAAAUGACACCUAGGAUGCUCCAUCCUUUCCCUGCAUCCCUUUGUGUUCAGUUCAACAACUUGGUUCUCCUCCUGACCAGCCACUGUGCUUGGCUGAGGACACAAAGGUGAAGGAGACAGUCUAGUAUAAAACAUGACACAGACCAGACCCAAAGGGGAGGAAGAGGUCCUGUAGAAAGGUGAAGGGGCAUCAUUCACCAAGCCUCUCCAGCAUUAACCAGAGACUGCUGGAGGGCAGCGUGAGCCUACGGAAAAGACUCGACAUCCAGGGUUUGGACUUAAAGGCCCUAGUGUGGACUUCUUCAGUGCUCUGAUUCCUUGAAGAUUCUGUUGGCUUGUUCUCAAAACGUAAGCAACUUUCCAGUGCCAACAUAUUGAAUUCCUUGCCCACGGGGCAUUUCUCAUCAUCAUGGGUUGCAAUGUGUGCUGUUGUCUGUUGCUGCAUAAUAAACCAGUAAGUCUGCUUAAGUGGCAUGAAGCAACUAUUUUGUUAUGCACACGAUUCUAUGGAUCAGGAAUUUGGACAGCCCAGCAAGGAUGGCUUGUCUUUGUUCUGUGACGUUGGGGCUUCUGCUGGGUACCAGAACCAUCUGGCAAUUCCUUCACUCACUUGCCUGCUAUUUGGGCCAGGAUGACUUGAAGUUUAAGGCCACUUAGGACAGUCAACAGAGCAUCUACAAGUGGUCUUUCCAUGUGACUCAGGCUUCUUAUAACACAGUAGCUGGGUUCUGAUGGCAUGUUCCAGAAGGGAGCUUCCAGAGAGUGAACAUUGCAACAGAAGCAGGUGGAAGCUGCAUGGCCAUUUAAGGCCUAGAUGCAGAAGUCACAUAGCAUCAGUCCACUGUACUCUACUGGUCAAAGUAGUCAUAACCCAGAUUCAAGGGGAGGAAACACAGAUCCCCAUCCUUGGAUGGGAGAAAUGACAAAGAAUGUGUGGCCAUUUUUAAGAAAUCAUCACAUGUGCACCCAGUGCUAUGUUGUAGCACACUCCAAUUUGUGUAUUUCCAUCCAUUUCACUAAAGGUCUGAAAGCCCAGCAAGCAUGAAUUGAGGUCCAAGGCCCCACUGGUAAGGAGCAGGAGGCCAUUGGCUA